UGGGGAAUAUUGCACAAUGGGCGCAAGCCUGAUGCAGCCAUGCCGCGUGUAUGAAGAAGGCCUUCGGGUUGUAAAGUACUUUCAGCGGGGAGGAAGGGAGUAAAGUUAAUACCUUUGCUCAUUGACGUUACCCGCAGAAGAAGCACCGGCUAACUCCGUGCCAGCAGCCGCGGUAAUACGGAGGGUGCAAGCGUUAAUCGGAAUUACUGGGCGUAAAGCGCACGCAGGCGGUUUGUUAAGUCAGAUGUGAAAUCCUCGGGCUCAACCUGGGAACUGCAUCUGAUACUGGCAAGCUUGAGUCUCGUAGAGGGGGGUAGAAUUCCAGGUGUAGCGGUGAAAUGCGUAGAGAUCUGGAGGAAUACCGGUGGCGAAGGCGGCCCCCUGGACGAAGACUGAAGCUCAGGUGCGAAAGCGUGGGGAGCAAACAGG
This 429-nucleotide ribosomal RNA is filed under the name Chloroflexota bacterium. Its description in RNAcentral is "Chloroflexi bacterium partial 16S ribosomal RNA". It matches the Rfam family "Bacterial small subunit ribosomal RNA", at positions 355 to 776 of the family's 1533-position model. Lineage: Bacteria; Bacillati; Chloroflexota. The record is from RNAcentral.